GUUUCUAAUCUUCAAGGCACAAGAUGCCCAUUAUGAUGUAGCUACUACCAUAAUGACAAUGAAAUCUCAUAUUCAAGCCCUUGAAGAACGAGCAAAUGCUGCAACAGUUCAGAGCACAAUGUUUGGGCAAUUGGUGGCUGAAGCUCUUCCCAAGAGUCUCCAUUGCCUGAAAGUAAAGCUCACAACUGAUUGGCUUAAGAAGCUGCCCCUUCAAGAUCUUGCAGAAGAGAAAAGAAAUUCCCCCAGAGUUGUGGAUAACAAUCUCUAUCACUUCUGCAUAUUUUCAGACAAUGUGCUGGCUACCUCUGUGGUUGUCAACUCCACAAUCUCCAAUGCUGACCAUCCAAAACAGUUAGUCUUCCACAUAGUCACAAAUGGAAUCAGCUAUGGAGCUAUGCAGGCUUGGUUCCUCAGUAAUGACUUCAAAGGGGCCACCAUAGAAGUGCAGAAUGUAGAAGAGUUCUCUUGGUUGAAUGCUUCGUAUGCUCCUGUUGUCAAACAGCUUCAUGAUGAAGAUUCACGGGUUUAUUAUUUUUCAGGUUAUCAAGAUAUGAAGGGAGAGCCAAAACUGCGGAAUCCUAAAUACCUGUCUUUGCUGAAUCAUCUUCG
This 609-nucleotide unclassified non-coding RNA is filed under the name Hevea brasiliensis (rubber tree). Lineage: Eukaryota; Viridiplantae; Streptophyta; Magnoliopsida; Malpighiales; Euphorbiaceae. The record is from RNAcentral.